UGGUUAGCCACGGUUUGGUUGGAUCCCUGCCUCGCGCAGCGACGUUCGACCGUACGUUCCUCUUCAAUAUUUCGGCCCAAGCAAGCUUGGCCGGCCAAUCGGUUUCCUGUGUUGCCUACCUACUAACGACGGUAUUCGGUUGCCAAAUUUUUACCCGUUCGCCCAAUGCUUCCCGUUCGUUCGGUGCGGCUGCGGGUGAUCCCUCAAGCGGUAUUUGUGUUCCCCGGCACAACACGCUAGCCGUUGUUUUUGCCGUGGCACACUAAUUUUCGCUCGGGCUCCGGGAUGCGGAAUACACAAUGGGCAAGGGGUCUUGGACCUCUAUUUCGCUCACGAAAGCUAAACGCUCGCAUAAACGACGUCCGGUGCUUCGUUGACGCUCGCGUCGCGUGGCCCGGUGUCAGUGAGGAAUGCUACCUGGUUGAUCCUGCCCAGUAGUCAUAUGCUUGUCUCAAAGAUUAAGCCAUGCAUGUGUAAAUAAA
Molecule: unclassified non-coding RNA, 482 nt
Filed under: Paracarphalea kirondron
Lineage: Eukaryota; Viridiplantae; Streptophyta; Magnoliopsida; Gentianales; Rubiaceae
Description: partial external transcribed spacer
Rfam family: Eukaryotic small subunit ribosomal RNA (bases 415-482)
Source: RNAcentral